This 740-nucleotide ribosomal RNA is filed under the name Escherichia coli. RNAcentral's name for it is "partial 23S ribosomal RNA". It matches the Rfam family "Bacterial large subunit ribosomal RNA", at positions 612 to 1351 of the family's 2925-position model. Lineage: Bacteria; Pseudomonadati; Pseudomonadota; Gammaproteobacteria; Enterobacterales; Enterobacteriaceae. The record is from RNAcentral.
AUAAUGGGUCAGCGACUUAUAUUCUGUAGCAAGGUUAACCGAAUAGGGGAGCCGAAGGGAAACCGAGUCUUAACUGGGCGUUAAGUUGCAGGGUAUAGACCCGAAACCCGGUGAUCUAGCCAUGGGCAGGUUGAAGGUUGGGUAACACUAACUGGAGGACCGAACCGACUAAUGUUGAAAAAUUAGCGGAUGACUUGUGGCUGGGGGUGAAAGGCCAAUCAAACCGGGAGAUAGCUGGUUCUCCCCGAAAGCUAUUUAGGUAGCGCCUCGUGAAUUCAUCUCCGGGGGUAGAGCACUGUUUCGGCAAGGGGGUCAUCCCGACUUACCAACCCGAUGCAAACUGCGAAUACCGGAGAAUGUUAUCACGGGAGACACACGGCGGGUGCUAACGUCCGUCGUGAAGAGGGAAACAACCCAGACCGCCAGCUAAGGUCCCAAAGUCAUGGUUAAGUGGGAAACGAUGUGGGAAGGCCCAGACAGCCAGGAUGUUGGCUUAGAAGCAGCCAUCAUUUAAAGAAAGCGUAAUAGCUCACUGGUCGAGUCGGCCUGCGCGGAAGAUGUAACGGGGCUAAACCAUGCACCGAAGCUGCGGCAGCGACGCUGAUGCGUUGUUGGGUAGGGGAGCGUUCUGUAAGCCUGUGAAGGUGUGCUGUGAGGCAUGCUGGAGGUAUCAGAAGUGCGAAUGCUGACAUAAGUAACGAUAAAGCGGGUGAAAAGCCCGCUCGCCGGAAGACCAAGGG